GGGCGAGUGGCGGAACUGGCAGACGCGCACGGCUUAGGACCGUGUGCCGCAAGGCUUGGAGGUUCGAGUCCUCUCUCGCCCA
RNAcentral lists this transfer RNA (82 nucleotides) under candidate division WOR-1 bacterium RIFCSPHIGHO2_01_FULL_53_15. Its description in RNAcentral is "tRNA-Leu". It matches the Rfam family "tRNA". From Rfam's summary of the family: Transfer RNA (tRNA) molecules are approximately 80 nucleotides in length. Their secondary structure includes four short double-helical elements and three loops (D, anti-codon, and T loops). Lineage: Bacteria; Bacillati. RNAcentral also lists the same sequence under 1 other name. The record is from RNAcentral.